CUAAUUAGACGUACAACAACAUCUUCUGGGCAAACCACAAAUGCUGCAGUACCAAGAACUACAUUACGACCGACAACCACGUAUCCAACGACAACUAGUUCGAGGACUACUCAUCCUCCCGCAAUUACCACUUUCUUUAGACGUACGACGUCUUCUGCAAGGCAAACAACAACUGUCGCUGUACCAAGAACCACUUUACGACCAACUACCACGUAUCCAACGACAACUCGUUUGGGAACGAAUACUCAUCCACCAACUACCCCUCUAAUUAGACGUACAACAUCUUCUUCUGGGCAAACUACAAGUGCUGCAGUACCAAGAACUACAUUACGACCACCGACAACCACUUAUCCAACGACAAAUCGUUCGACUCCUCAUGUGACUACCCCUAUAAUUAGACGUACAACAUAUUCUGCAGGU
Molecule: long non-coding RNA, 420 nt
Organism: Anneissia japonica
Lineage: Eukaryota; Metazoa; Echinodermata; Crinoidea; Comatulida; Comatulidae
Exons: 4
Source: RefSeq, a predicted model, not a curated record